CCCUUAGAUGUUCUGGGCCGCACGCGCGCUACACUGACAGAGCCAGCGAGUUCUCUUUCCUUGGCUGAAAAGUCAUGGGUAAUCUUGUGAAACUCUGUCGUGCUGGGGAUAGAGCAUUGCAAUUAUUGAUCUUGAACGAGGAAUUCCUAGUAAACGCGAGUCAUCAGCUCGCAUUGAUUACGUCCCUGCCCUUUGUACACACCGCCCGUCGCACCUACCGAUUGAAUGUUUCGGUGAAGAUUCCGGAUAGGACCUUUUUGAUUUAUUUCAAUUUUGUCUUAAAAGCUAUCUAAACCUCAACAUUUAGAGGAAGGUGAAGUCGUAACA
RNAcentral lists this ribosomal RNA (327 nucleotides) under uncultured eukaryote. Its description in RNAcentral is "partial 18S ribosomal RNA". It matches the Rfam family "Eukaryotic small subunit ribosomal RNA", at positions 1470 to 1796 of the family's 1831-position model. The record is from RNAcentral.